Molecule: ribosomal RNA, 377 nt
Filed under: Pseudechis australis (mulga snake)
Lineage: Eukaryota; Metazoa; Chordata; Lepidosauria; Squamata; Elapidae
Description: partial 16S ribosomal RNA
Rfam family: Bacterial large subunit ribosomal RNA
Source: RNAcentral
GUAGACCCGUAUGAAAGGCAUAAUGAGGGCUUAACUGUCUCUUUUAGUAAAUCAAUUAAACUGAUCUUCUAGUCAAAAAGCUAGAAUAGUAACAUAAGACCAGAAGACCCUGUGAAGCUUUAACUAAACUAUUAAACCAUAUAAUAAUUACUUUCGGUUGGGGCGACCUUGGAAAAAAAAAGAACUUCCAAAAACCUAUUACACAAUAAUACCCUUUUGGCCAACAAGCCUAUAUAUAGACCCAGCAAAGCUGAUAAUUGAACCAAGUUACUCCAGGGAUAACAGCGCUAUCCUCUUCAAGAGCCCAUAUCAAAAAGAGGGUUUACGACCUCGAUGUUGGAUCAGGACAUCCCAAUGGUGCAGCCGCUAUUGAUGGU